This is a long non-coding RNA of Anopheles stephensi (Asian malaria mosquito), 941 nucleotides long. RefSeq lists it as uncharacterized. Lineage: Eukaryota; Metazoa; Arthropoda; Insecta; Diptera; Culicidae. The record is from RefSeq and is a predicted model, not a curated record. The transcript is spliced from 3 exons.
GCUCGAUUUUUAAGCACUGCUGGAGUGACACAAAUCAUCGUGCUCGUCACUGACGUCAUUGAUUGCGUCAUUUCAGGAUUACGACGGAUACCGGCAUUUAUACGCUAAUUGGGUGGUCGGAUGGGUCGCUGUAUGCCCACAUUUCUUCGCACGCAGCAUCGCCGGUUGUAACGGUUCUCCGGUAGGCGAUUCCUUCCCAUGUUCCACCACAUCCUGCACGUAAACACGGGCUAGGGCAAGUCCUUGGCAGAACUCCGUGAGAUUAACACUUUCUAACAGAUAAACUGCUUCCAGAGAACGGUCUCUAUUACUGGUCAUUACAACGGCCCGGUAUUCAACGCAUUCAACCUCAAUUUAAAUCCUAACAGCUGUGGGUCGUAGGUGUGAGACUCGCAUACAAUGUACGCAAACGAUGACGAAGCUUUUGACUGUCGACAACACACAAGUAGCAUGGCAAUUUAACCGGACGCGAUGUUGAAUAGCUAGACAAGGGGGCAAGGGGGCAAGGGUCCGUGCUUACCACCAGUACUGCAGACGGUUAACAGUGGUUCCUCACAGUUGUACCAGCUAGAUUCACAUGGUAUCUAUGCUGCUGCAUACAGGCCGCCUUAAACACUGGGGCUAAUAGUCGCCUGCAUUUGUGAAGAAUCGUUGGCGCUUAGCUAGCUGCCUGCGUUUUGUUGAGCAGGAUCCAUCAAUCUACGUCCGUAAAAAGUGGUUUGGUAGGCCUGUAAGAUGGAGAAAAUGCUUUAAAUUUUCUGGACGCUUACCAUCUCCAGGAGUCGAACCGUACCAUCAUACCCUACCACACACAAGAUCCAAUUGAGCAGGCUGAUUCACAAGAAAGAUUUUAACCCAGUUUUGGGGGGAAAUAGGGCACGUAUACAUAUUUGUUGCAUAGAUUUGAAGCUAUAGGGUUUAAUAUUUUUCUUAAACCGUAC